UAUUGUGUUACGAUCUAAUGGUAUUGACUGUAAAUACUUAUAAUAUCAAAACAAUAAAGACCUUCCCAAGUAUGUCUUCUGUAUGACGAACAUACAGAUAAGUGCAGUUUGACAUAUUUAAUGUAGUGAUCCAAAAGUAUAUUGUAUAUAACAAUGAUUUCACUCUAGUCAAGAAAGAACAUUAGUGUUAAUGGUACGUCUUGUUCAUAGACGCAAGAAGAAAUUCUUAAAUGUAUAUUUGUUAAAAUGAUGCUCCGUGUGCAAUAAGUAAUAAAGAUGGAUCUUUCUCCAAGAAGAAGAAUUGAAUUAACAGAAAAACAGAAACAAAGAGAACUAGAGAUUAUCGAUUGAAAAUUGUGAAAAUCAGUUGCCUGCGGCCAUGCUGGAGCACCGCCUUUAGUCGAGCAAAUCGACCCCAGGACUUAUUCUUUGGAAGCCUAGUACUUAUUCUAUCGGUCUCUUUUGCCGAACCGCUAUGUUACGGGGACGUAAACACACCAGCAUCGGUUGUCAAUCGAUGUUGGGGGGACAAACACAAACACACAAAUGUUUACAUUUCUUGAUUCUUUUUUUUUUGUACCUAGAACAAUAAAUCUCCACGAUUCAUCAGCA
This is a long non-coding RNA of Octopus bimaculoides (California two-spot octopus), 612 nucleotides long. RefSeq lists it as uncharacterized. The record is from RefSeq and is a predicted model, not a curated record. NCBI's taxonomy places the organism in Eukaryota, Metazoa, Mollusca, Cephalopoda, Octopoda, Octopodidae.